AGUGAACGCUGGCGGUAGGCCUAACACAUGCAAGUCGAACGGCAGCACAGUAAGAGCUUGCUCUUACGGGUGGCGAGUGGCGGACGGGUGAGGAAUACAUCGGAAUCUACUUUUUCGUGGGGGAUAACGUAGGGAAACUUACGCUAAUACCGCAUACGACCUACGGGUGAAAGCAGGGGAUCUUCGGACCUUGCGCGAUUGAAUGAGCCGAUGUCGGAUUAGCUAGUUGGCGGGGUAAAGGCCCACCAAGGCGACGAUCCGUAGCUGGUCUGAGAGGAUGAUCAGCCACACUGGAACUGAGACACGUACCAGACUCCUACGGGAGGCAGCAGUGGGGAAUAUUGGACAAUGGGCGCAAGCCUGAUCCAGCCAUACCGCGUGGGUGAAGAAGGCCUUCGGGUUGUAAAGCCCUUUUGUUGGGAAAGAAAAGCAGCAGGUUAAUACCCCGCUGUUCUGACGGUACCCAAAGAAUAAGCACCGGCUAACUUCGUG
This 492-nucleotide ribosomal RNA is filed under the name uncultured bacterium. RNAcentral's name for it is "partial 16S ribosomal RNA". It matches the Rfam family "Bacterial small subunit ribosomal RNA", at positions 29 to 507 of the family's 1533-position model. The record is from RNAcentral.